RNAcentral lists this long non-coding RNA (408 nucleotides) under Salvia miltiorrhiza (redroot sage). RNAcentral describes it as "long non-coding RNA (SMIL_LNC000768)". Lineage: Eukaryota; Viridiplantae; Streptophyta; Magnoliopsida; Lamiales; Lamiaceae. The record is from RNAcentral.
GUGCCAGGAACGCCUCCAGUGACGGUGAACUCCGCCGCCUCAGCGACGAGAAUAUCGCCGCGGAUGCCAUGAAUUUAAAAUCAAGAACAGUUUUUUUUUUNUUUUUUAAUGUACGGAUGAAAUUCAAUAAAUUGAAUUCUAGGCUAUGCUUAUGGUGAUUGUAUCGUUGAAUUUCAGAAUCGUAUAAAACGGAAAAAAGGAAAGAAAGGGAAAAACUGUGGAUUCUGAAGGCGCGUGCAGAGAAAAUAGGAAGAAAGGGAGAAAAUGGAAAGGAAGGUUUUUUGGCUUCUUAGUAAGAUUUUGAUUAAUGGCGAAUUGACUGAAAUUUCAAUAAGGGUAAAAUUGUUUUAUUGCAGGAUACAAUAAUCUUGAAUUUUCUCCGAGAAUUUCUAUGCAGGCUGCUUGACA